UCAUUGAACGCAUCACAGUGCCGUGAGCAAAGGCCUAGUCCAACUGCAGAAUUUCUUCUUUUCCUCCCGUCGAUCUGGUGAGAUGCAUGCUGUUCUGGUGCCCUCUGCGAUCUGGAAACCUGGAGAGAGAAAUCAUGAAGCGGUACGCGCUGAGCCGAGUCCGACAAGCAUCCGCCAUUACACCAACUCCUCUGCAUCCGGGUGUGUGUAGGCUGGUUUUUCCUUUGGUAUCCUGUUCCUACUGGAUGAUGUUCCUCAUCUGAUGACUCCACUGAAACAUCCUACCUGGUAGAUGGUCGUUGCUGCAAGUGGAUGCUUCUGCUUUCUGGAUGCUGUUACUGGAUACUACACUGUUCCAACAGGGUGGUAGGAACAAAUUGGAGGGCCCCAACGUUGCACUUUACCUUUCCCUGAGCUCAGGUGUUUGUUUGUUUUUUGGCCAAAGGACCUUGAUAAAUUUUUUUUGUU
Long non-coding RNA from Maylandia zebra (zebra mbuna), 468 nucleotides. RefSeq lists it as uncharacterized. The record is from RefSeq and is a predicted model, not a curated record. Lineage: Eukaryota; Metazoa; Chordata; Actinopteri; Cichliformes; Cichlidae.